This 254-nucleotide ribosomal RNA is filed under the name uncultured bacterium. RNAcentral's name for it is "partial 16S ribosomal RNA". It matches the Rfam family "Bacterial small subunit ribosomal RNA", at positions 524 to 776 of the family's 1533-position model. The record is from RNAcentral.
UACGAACUGUGCAAACGUUAUUCGGAAUCACUGGGCUUAAAGGGUGCGUAGGCGGCUAUUUAAGUAGGGUGUGAAAGCCCCCGGCUCAACCGGGGAAUUGCGUCCUAAACUGGAUAGCUCGAGUGAGAUAGAGGUGUGCGGAACUUCCGGUGGAGCGGUGAAAUGUGUUGAUAUCGGAAGGAACGCCGGUGGCGAAAGCGGCACACUGGGUGCUCAACUGACGCUGAGGCACGAAAGCCAGGGGAGCGAACGGG